Aethalodelphis obliquidens (Pacific white-sided dolphin) is the source of this 524-nucleotide long non-coding RNA. RefSeq lists it as uncharacterized. The record is from RefSeq and is a predicted model, not a curated record. The transcript is spliced from 4 exons. Lineage: Eukaryota; Metazoa; Chordata; Mammalia; Artiodactyla; Delphinidae.
CCCUGUGCUAUGCGGCUGCUUCACACUAGCUAUCAAUUUUACGUUUGGAUAUUUACCAGAAAUGAAAAUCUCUACAAGUCUCAGAUUGAAGAUUAACAAUAAGCCAUAAGCAGGAUAAAUAAAACAUUUCCUCCUAGUCAUAAUUGUAACUGAAACUUCUGAAUAUCAAAGAAAAAGAGAAAAUAUUGAAAUUAAUCAGAGUCAAAAGACAGCUAUUUACAAGAUAACACCAAUGAUACUUCUUAUCUGCAACUAUAAAUGGCAGGAGACAAAGGAAUGUACUGAAUAUGAAGGGAGACAUAAUUCCUUGUGCCACCUUCCUCCACCGAGGGUGGAGGAACAAAUACAUUUUAUAAAAAUCAGCAAAAAGGGAAAUUGUCAAAGCACAACAGAACUGUCAGCAAACUUCAAAGAAUCCAAGAUAUUUAUUAUACUCCACAGGUCAUAAUACUUUUCUGAUUCCUUUCUUUUUCUACCAAUCUUCUAAUUAAAAUAAAAUCUACUGGCAAUUUGUAAAGUGUAAA